This 495-nucleotide ribosomal RNA is filed under the name uncultured bacterium. RNAcentral describes it as "partial 16S ribosomal RNA". It matches the Rfam family "Bacterial small subunit ribosomal RNA", at positions 28 to 507 of the family's 1533-position model. The record is from RNAcentral.
GACGAACGCUGGCGGCGUGCCUAAUACAUGCAAGUAGAACGCUGAAGGAGGAGCUUGCUCUUCUGGAUGAGUUGCGAACGGGUGAGUAACGCGUAGGUAACCUGCCUGGUAGCGGGGGAUAACUAUUGGAAACGAUAGCUAAUACCGCAUAAGAGUAGAUGUUGCAUGACAUUUACUUAAAAGGUGCAAUUGCAUCACUACCAGAUGGACCUGCGUUGUAUUAGCUAGUUGGUGGGGUAACGGCUUACCAAGGCGACGAUACAUAGCCGACCUGAGAGGGGGAGCGGCCACCCUGGGACGUAGACACGGCACAGACUCCUACGGGAGGCAGCAGUAGGGAAUCUUAGACGAUGGUCUGAAGUCUGACCAAGUAAGUCCGAGGAAGUGAAGAAGGUUUACGGAUCGUAAAGCUCUGUUGUAAGAGAAGAACGAGUGUGAGAAUGGAAAGUUCACUCUGUGACGAUAUCUUACCAGAAAGGGACGCCUAACUACUUG